Molecule: long non-coding RNA, 934 nt
Filed under: Anas platyrhynchos platyrhynchos (common mallard)
Lineage: Eukaryota; Metazoa; Chordata; Aves; Anseriformes; Anatidae
Description: lncRNA (ENSAPLG00000022453.1)
Source: RNAcentral
AGAAAGUAUUUAAUCAAACACUAUACAGAAAAAUAAAAAAGAUACAAGUGCAACUGUUGAGGUAGUAAUAAUUAGCAACUAAAGGUUACAAUAAAAUAGCACUGACAUGGGAAAGUCUAAAACCCUGAGUAAAAACAAAAUCUGUAAACUGCAGCUCUGCAACAUCAAGGUUCUGUCUCUUCCAAGGAGCAGCAGAGGAUGAUCCUGCCCCAUCUGAUCAGUGGCUCUCUGGCCAGUAAAUCAGCAGUGGACUUUGAAUGCAACAAAAGAACAAAUGAACUCCAUAGCUCUAAGAGCCCUUCAAAACUGAAUGGAUUCUGUCACAAACAAGCUGUUGUGCCUGAGAGUGAUGAACUAGCUGUCAUGAGGUCUAAAGGGUUUAUGUUCCCCCUCACCAACUGCCUUCUUCAGCACCAGUGUCCUCCAGGACUGGAAAAACGUGGCUGGCCAGACCCAGUUCCUGGGUCAAGCUACUGUAUUUUGGUGCUGGAGAGGAAGAGAUUUCCAGUGAAACAGUUAAAGGUAUCAAAAUGUCAACAGAUGUCAAAAGGAAUGGGUCCUGAAAUACCACAGAGUAGGUGAGCAGUCUCAAUCUUCUGUGUGGUUUUCAUGCCAGUUAUUGCCAGCAGAAAUGAAUAUAUUUUGAGUUACCUGGUCCUGGUUUCCUUACUCUAAAGAUGAAAGCACAUUCCAGUUAUAUGUACCUCCAUAUAGCCUAAGCCAAAGUCAAGGUAAUCUAUUUUUUUGACUACAUCUUUUUAUCUUGAACAACUAUUUCAGGAAAAAUACAGACUGAUGAUUCUAUAAUGUAUCAAUUAAUUAAACUGAUAACAUGUUAGAUAGACAAAACUUUCAUUUUGCAAUGACUUAUUUCUGAACUUUGAAUAAUUCUGAUAAAGUCAAUGGAAAUACAGAGAAUAUAUACAUAUAUAAA